UACGGGGGGUGCAAACGUUGCUCGGAAUUAUUGGGGGUAAAGCGCACGUAGGCGGUCCUCUAAGUCGGGUGUGAAAGCCCGGGGCUUAACCCCGGAAGUGCACUCGAAACUGGAGGGCUUGAGUAUGGAAGAGGGUCUCGGAAUUCCCGGUGUAGAGGUGAAAUUCGUAGAUAUCGGGAGGAACACCAGUGGCGAAGGCGGAGACCUGGGCCAAUACUGACGCUGAGGUGCGAAAGCGUGGGGAGCAAACAGG
This 253-nucleotide ribosomal RNA is filed under the name uncultured bacterium. Its description in RNAcentral is "partial 16S ribosomal RNA". It matches the Rfam family "Bacterial small subunit ribosomal RNA", at positions 524 to 776 of the family's 1533-position model. The record is from RNAcentral.